Molecule: small RNA, 131 nt
Filed under: Fimbriimonas ginsengisoli Gsoil 348
Lineage: Bacteria; Bacillati; Armatimonadota; Fimbriimonadia; Fimbriimonadales; Fimbriimonadaceae
Also listed under: 1 other name
Description: c-di-AMP riboswitch aptamer (ydaO/yuaA leader)
Rfam family: c-di-AMP riboswitch aptamer (ydaO/yuaA leader)
About the family: This family represents a conserved RNA structure found upstream of the ydaO and yuaA genes in Bacillus subtilis and related genes in other bacteria. The ydaO/yuaA element is thought to act as a genetic "off" switch for the ydaO and yuaA genes in its native state.
Source: Rfam by way of RNAcentral
GAAAAACCUAGGCUUAAUGCCGCGAGAGCGGCAGCGGGGGACCCGUUAUCUGGGGUGAAUCUCGAGUGAUCGAGUAGGACGUUCUUGGUCCGAAUCCGACAGCUAACCUCGCCGGCCGAAUGCAAGAACGG